RNAcentral lists this ribosomal RNA (322 nucleotides) under uncultured eukaryote. RNAcentral describes it as "partial 18S ribosomal RNA". It matches the Rfam family "Eukaryotic small subunit ribosomal RNA", at positions 1470 to 1796 of the family's 1831-position model. The record is from RNAcentral.
CCCUUAGAUGUUUUGGGCCGCACGCGUGCUACACUGAGUGGAUCAGCGGGUCAGGUUGCGCGAAAGCGUUUCCUAAUCUUUAAAUCCGCUCGUGAUGGGGAUUGACGGUUGCAAUUUUCUGUCAUGAACGAGGAAUACCUUGUAAGCGCGGGUCAUCAUCCCGCGCUGAAUACGUCCCUGCCCUUUGUACACACCGCCCGUCGCUCCUACCGAUUGAGUGGUCCGGUGAGGCUUUGGGAUCUGAGCGGAAAGAGCGUUUCGCUGUUUCUGCUCGGAAAACUCAGUCGAACCUUAUCAUUUAGAGGAAGGAGAAGUCGUAACA